UACGUAGGGUGCGAGCGUUAAUCGGAAUUACUGGGCGUAAAGCGUGCGCAGGCGGUUCGUUAUGUCUGAUGUGAAAGCCCCGGGCUCAACCUGGGAAUGGCAUUGGAAACUGGCGGACUUGAGUGUGGCAGAGGGGGGUGGAAUUCCGCGUGUAGCAGUGAAAUGCGUAGAUAUGCGGAGGAACACCGAUGGCGAAGGCAGCCCCCUGGGCCAACACUGACGCUCAUGCACGAAAGCGUGGGGAGCAAACAGG
This 253-nucleotide ribosomal RNA is filed under the name uncultured bacterium. Its description in RNAcentral is "partial 16S ribosomal RNA". It matches the Rfam family "Bacterial small subunit ribosomal RNA", at positions 524 to 776 of the family's 1533-position model. The record is from RNAcentral.